UUAGUAAAAGCAAAUCGAUUAAAGUGAUUGCUGGUAAAGUUCAUGCUUUUUAUGCCCCCCUUCGAAGAAGAGGGGGUAUAUUGUUUUGCACAUGUCGGUCCGUCGGUCUGUCAUUCCGUCGGUCCGUCCACCAGAUGGUUUCCGGAUGAUAACUCAAGAACGCUUAGGCCUAGGAUCAUGAAACUUCAUAGGUACAUUGAUCAUGACUGGCAGAUGACCCCUAUUGAUUUUCAGGUCACUAGGUCAAAGGUCAAGGUCACAGUGACUCGAAAUAGUAAAAUGGUUUCCGGAUGAUAAC
Molecule: long non-coding RNA, 298 nt
Organism: Dreissena polymorpha
Lineage: Eukaryota; Metazoa; Mollusca; Bivalvia; Myida; Dreissenidae
Exons: 2
Source: RefSeq, a predicted model, not a curated record